Cotesia glomerata is the source of this 189-nucleotide long non-coding RNA. RefSeq lists it as uncharacterized. The record is from RefSeq and is a predicted model, not a curated record. The transcript is spliced from 2 exons. NCBI's taxonomy places the organism in Eukaryota, Metazoa, Arthropoda, Insecta, Hymenoptera, Braconidae.
UAAUUGUCUUCAAAUAAAUUAAAUUAUUAAUAGUUAAUAAAUCCUUUUAUCAGUGUAAUAAUUGCAGUUUUGUUUUUAGUUAAACGAAUCAACAACAAGAAUAAUAGCCUCCCGUAACUCCGAAAGUAACCACUGCGAACGCUUCAGUCGAUUUCAUUUCCCCUACCAUGGCUUCACUCAGAGCGAAUA